Molecule: ribosomal RNA, 253 nt
Filed under: uncultured bacterium
Lineage: Bacteria
Description: partial 16S ribosomal RNA
Rfam family: Bacterial small subunit ribosomal RNA
Source: RNAcentral
UACAGAGGGGGCAAGCGUUGUUCGGAAUUACUGGGCGUAAAGGGCGCGUAGGCGGCCCGCUAAGUCGAACGUGAAAUCCCCAGGCUCAACCUGGGAACUGCGUCCGAUACUGGCAGGCUUGAAUCCGGGAGAGGGAUGUGGAAUUCCAGGUGUAGCGGUGAAAUGCGUAGAUACAAUCAAGAACCCCGAUUGCGUAGGCAGCUAACUAGGCUGUAACUGACGCUGAGGCACGAAAGCGUGGGGAGCGAACAGG